RNAcentral lists this ribosomal RNA (421 nucleotides) under uncultured bacterium. RNAcentral describes it as "partial 16S ribosomal RNA". The record is from RNAcentral.
ACGGCCAGGACUACAGGGGUAUCUAAUCCCUUUCGCUCCCCUGGCUUUCGUCCAUGAGCGUCAGUAAUGGCCCAGCAGAGCGCCUUCGCCACUGGUGUUCUUCCCGAUAUCUACGCAUUUCACCGCUACACCGGGAAUUCCCUCUGCCCCUACCAUACUCAAGCCUUUCAGUUUCCACUGCCAUGAUGGAGUUAAGCUCCACGCUUUAACAGCAGACUUGAAAAGCCGCCUGCGGACGCUUUACGCCCAAUAAUUCCGGAUAACGCUUGCCACUCCCGUAUUACCGCGGCUGCUGGCACGGAAUUAGCCGUGGCUUAUUCCUCAAGUACCGUCAUAUCUUCUUCCUUGAGAAAAGAGGUUUACAGCCCAGAGGCCUUCGUCCCUCACGCGGCGUUGCUCCGUCAGGCUUUCGCCCAUUGCG